AUGUCCGUCCGCACCGAGAUGUACAACACCCGUCCCGAUGGUUCCCGUGACUACCUCUCCGUCGGCCAGUCCCCCGUUCCCUCCCUGUACACCUUCUUCGCCGCCGCCUAUGCCGCCUUCUUCGUCGUGUGGAUCCACCUCGCCCUUUUCAAGAACCGCCUCGCCGCCCACCGGCUCCACCACCUCAUGGCCGGUCUCCUCUUCACCAAGGCUCUCAACCUCAUCUUUGCCGCCGAGGACCAGCACUACUUCCGCCAGACCGGCACCCCCCACGGGUGGGACGUCCUCUUCUACCUCUUCCAGUUCCUGAAAGGCGUCCUCUUGUUCACCGUCAUCGUCCUCAUCGGCACCGGAUGGUCCUUCCUCAAGCCCUUCCUCCAGGAGCGAGAGAAGAGGUGCUCAUGAUCGUGAUCCCGCUCCAGGUCGUCGCCAACAUCGCGUCGGUCGUGAUAGGCGAGACCGGACCCUUCAUCCGGGACUGGGUCUCCUGAAAUCGGGUCCUCCUCCUCAUCGAUGUCAUCUGCUGCUGCGCCAUCCUGUUCCCCAUCAUCUGGUCAAUCAGAUCGCUGCGCGAGACUUCAAAGACGGACGGGAAGGCCGCGAGAAACGUUGCCAAGCUCACUCUUUUCCGGCAGUUCUACAUUGUGGUGAUCGGGUAUCUGUACUUCACGAGGGUUGUGGUGUACGCGCUGAAGACGAUCACGUCUUACAAGUAUCGGUGGCUCAGCGUGGCAGCCGAAGAGACAGCGAGCCUCGCCUUCUACAUCUUCAUGUUUUACAUGUUUAGGCCGGUGGAGAAGAACCACUACUUUGCGCUCGAUGACGAAGAGGAAGAGGCCGCGGAGAUGGUGCUUCGCGACGAAGAAAUCGAGCUUUGAAUGACAGUGAAUUCCCAGUAUGCCUGUAUGGGAAUGUUGUAAUAUGGAUAAAACGCUUUAGUUAUAAUUUUGGACGUUUCAUCUA
This is an RNA transcript of Musa acuminata AAA Group (dessert banana), 963 nucleotides long. It is a transcript of the gene named protein CANDIDATE G-PROTEIN COUPLED RECEPTOR 7-like, with no coding region annotated. The record is from RefSeq and is a predicted model, not a curated record. The transcript has a single exon. NCBI's taxonomy places the organism in Eukaryota, Viridiplantae, Streptophyta, Magnoliopsida, Zingiberales, Musaceae.